Molecule: long non-coding RNA, 1344 nt
Organism: Bos taurus (domestic cattle)
Lineage: Eukaryota; Metazoa; Chordata; Mammalia; Artiodactyla; Bovidae
Source: Ensembl
GGACUUGGGAUAAAUCAUUUCACUGAGACGCAGAGGUUAAAGGACAAACUAAGGGGAAGUGGAUGGGAGAGAAUUUCACAGCUCAUUGACUGCUCUGACUCCUAAUCUACACCGGAGGAAACAAUGUUGCAGCUCAUCAAAUGCAAUCAGCUGCUAAUUGAAAGGAAAUGGAAUUUUACAAUUACAGGCCACCUUUCAGUGCUCAGGAUUUCUAAGCCUUCUCCCCACCCUCCUUGGCCAGCUCAGCACUGGCAGGAGCACUUGACAACCUGCUGGAGACUUCCCUGAGAACUGCAUUUAGGAUCUGGCCCAGAGCCGCAAAAAGGGAAGCAGCAUCCUUGCCAGUUCCUAGACUGUCCUUCAAGGCUCAGUGCAAAGGGAAGAGGCUGGGGUUGGGCAUCCACAGACCUAAGUGAGUGUGCUGGCUCACCUUCCCGCCGCCCCUUUGACUUGAACAAGGUAUGCCCUUGUUCUUCCCCGAGCCCCACUUUCCUUCUCUCCAAAAUCAAGAUUUAAUGAUUUCCAAGGUUCUCAUUGGGCUUCCUUGGUGGCUCAAUGGUAAAGAAUCUGCCUGCAAUGCUGGAGAAAUGGGUUCAAUUACUGGGUUGGAAAGAUUCGCUGGAGAAGGAAAUAGCAAUCCGCACCAGUAUUCUUGCCUGGAAAAUCGCAUGGACAGAGGAGUCUGGAAGGCUACAGUCCAUGGGGUUGCAAAAGAGUCAGACAUGACUGAGCAACUAAACAACAAAACAACAGAGCUUAUUAGCUCCGAGGAUUCUGUUCACCCUAUUCCUGCUACUAUUCCCAUCCAGUGGACAACAUCUAAGUGGACAUACUCUUGCUGGCCCAGAUAUCUGCUUUUGCAAAUGCUACCAGGGAAAACACUUUCACAACUAGGAGGAGGCAGAAAAUGCUUUCCAAGCGUUCCUCAAAUCCUGACUUUUAUGCUGCAGGAAUUAACAAACGUAUUUCUUGUUGGCAAAAUUGUACUGAUUGUAAUGGAUUCUAUUUUGGUUAAUAAAGAUAUGCUUGAGCCUAGUUAUAAUGAUUUAAAAAUCCACAGUCUGAAACAGCAAUUACUUUUGUACCAAUAUAAUAUUUAUCAGCGUUCUCCUGAUGGCAUCUACCAAGCUUAUAGAAUGGCUCUCUUAGGUUUGCACUCUCCCUAGAUCCAAUCAGAUCCAAGGAUGGUGAUCUAUGAAGAAGGAGCUCCCUAGAAAGAUCUAUAUGUAUGCUAGACCAAUUAGCACAUUCUACAAUUCAUUUAUUUAUUCUUCAGAUACUGUCUGAGCAUGUAUUUUAUCCCAGACAUAGUGCCCAGGAUAAAUACAAAUGUGUAUAUAUAAG